GAUGAACGCUAGCGAUAGGCUUAACACAUGCAAGUCGAGGGACCGGCGCACGGGUGCGUAACGCGUAUGCAACCUGCCUGUAAUUAGGGAAUAACCCGGUGAAAGUCGGACUAAUACCCUAUAUUGAAAGUUGAUUACAGAUGGGCAUGCGUCCCAUUAGCUGGCUGGUAAGGUAACGGCUUACCAAGGCAACGAUGGGUAGGGGGACUGAGAGGUUGACCUCCCACACUGGUACUGAGACACGGACCAGACUCCUACGGGAGGCAGCAGUGAGGAAUAUUGGUCAAUGGGCGAGAGCCUGAACCAGCCAAGUCGCGUGAAGGACGACGGUUUAUGGAUUGUAAACUUCUUUUGUAGAGGAAUAUGCAUGUACUCUACGAAUAAGUAUCGGCUAACUCCGUGCCAGCAGCCGCGGUAAUACGGAGGAUACGAGCGUUAUCCGGAAUUAUUGGGUUUAAAGGGUGCGUAGGUGGCGUAUUAAGUCAGUGGUGAAAAGCUGCAGCUCAACUGUAGUCUUGCCGUUGAAACUGAUAUGCUAGAGAGGAGACGAGGUAUGCGGAAUGUGUGGUGUAGCGGUGAAAUGCAUAGAUAUCACACAGAACGCCGAUUGCGAAGGCAGCGUACCAGGCUCUCUGACACUGAAGCACGAAAGCGUGGGGAUCAAACAGGAUUAGAUACCCUGGUAGUCCACGUAGUAAACGAUGAAUACUAGAUUUUUGCGUGUAAGAGUCUAAGCGAAAGCGAUAAGUAUUCCACCUGGGGAGUACGCCGGCAACGGUGAAACUCAAAGGAAUUGAGGGGGCCCGCACAAGCGGAGGAACAUGUGGUUUAAUUCGAUGAUACGCGAGGAACUUACCGGGGAUUGAAUUUAGUAGGUGCUGCAUGGUUGUCGUCAGCUCGUGCCGUGAGGUGUCGGCUUAAGUGCCAUAACGAGCGCAACCCGCGUCGAUAGUUACUAACAGCUGAGGACUCUAUCGAGACAGCCGUCGUAAGACGGAGGAAGGGGCGGAUGACGUCAAAUCAGCACGGCCCUUACAUCCGGGGCGACACACGUGUUACAAUGGCAGGCAAAGGGAAGCGACAUGGUGACAUGAAGCGGAUCUCCCCUGUCCCAGUUCGGACGGAGUCUGCAACUCGACUCCGGAAGCUGGAUUCGCUAGUAAUCGCGCAUCAGCCAUGGCGCGGUGAAUACGUUCCCGGGCCUUGUACACACCGCCCGUCAAGCCAUGGGAGUCGGGGGUACCUGAAGGGCGUAGCGCACUAGGGUAAUACCGGUGACUGGGGC
RNAcentral lists this ribosomal RNA (1285 nucleotides) under Porphyromonas sp. oral clone P4GB_100 P2. RNAcentral's name for it is "bacterial SSU rRNA". It matches the Rfam family "Bacterial small subunit ribosomal RNA". The record is from RNAcentral. Lineage: Bacteria; Pseudomonadati; Bacteroidota; Bacteroidia; Bacteroidales; Porphyromonadaceae. RNAcentral also lists the same sequence under 2 other names.